UAGACGGAUCCAAAAAUAUAAAAAAUCUAAAAUAAUAAUGCUAAAGUUCGGAUAUCCACAUCCAUAUUCAUUUUUUUCGCCUAUCCAAAAAAUUUAACUCUAUAAAACCAUAUCUGUAUCUAUAUCUUAUCGGAUCCAGAUAUUUUCUAUCCGGAUCUGGAUAUUAUCGAAUACGGAUACAGAUAUUAAUUUUCGGAUAAUAUCCUAUCCGUUUUCACUCCUAGCAUAUAUAAACACAUCGAUAUUUAAUUAGCUCAAAGCUACCACUUAAUUAGCUCAAACAAGACAUUCUAUAGGGGGUAGUACAGGAUCAAAUGUCUCAAAUUACUAAUGGAAAGCUUUAGAUUUUAAUUUUAGGGUAAAUUUCAGUUUACUUUCUGUGGUUUAUCUCAUUUUUACUUUACUAUUUUGUGGUUGGAAAAGUUAUAUUUAACUAUUCUGUGAUUUAGUUCAUUUUCACUUUACUGUCCUGUAAUUUAAAAAAUUGUACUUAACUAUAUAUUUUCUAUUUAGUUAACAAAAAAAUUUAUUAAUUACUAUACAAUCUGAUAUAUAGUAUAUUUUUA
Molecule: long non-coding RNA, 566 nt
Filed under: Ananas comosus (pineapple)
Lineage: Eukaryota; Viridiplantae; Streptophyta; Magnoliopsida; Poales; Bromeliaceae
Description: long non-coding RNA (ACOM_LNC002072)
Source: RNAcentral